This is a ribosomal RNA of 575 nucleotides. It matches the Rfam family "Bacterial large subunit ribosomal RNA", at positions 1814 to 2605 of the family's 2925-position model.
CAUCGCCUCUUGACAUUCUACACUAUAAGAGGUCUAGCCUGCCCAGUGAUAUUUUUAACGGCCGCGGUACUCUGACCGUGCGAAGGUAGCAUAAUCACUUGUUCUUUAAAUGAGGACUAGUAUCAACGGCAUCACGAGGAUUUUACUGUCUCCUUUUUCCUAUCGGUGAAACUGAUCUCCCCGUGAAGAAGCGGGGAUAUUUCUAUAAGACGAGAAGACCCCAUGGAGCUUUAAACCCAGAGACACCUCAAACCCUCCCUCCCAUAAAAGUUUUUAUGUGCUGUCCUCUGGUUUUAGGUUGGGGUGACCGCGGAGUAUAACUUAACCUCCACAACGCACGGAACUUCUUCCUUAUCUGAGAGUGACAUCUCAAAGAAUUAAUACAUUAACGUAAAAUGAUCCAAUAACUUUUAUUUUGAUUAACGAACCAAGUUACCCUGGGGAUAACAGCGCAAUCCAUUUCCAGAGCCCCUAUCGACAAAUGGGUUUACGACCUCGAUGUUGGAUCAGGGUAUCCCAGUGGUGCAGCCGCUACUAAUGGUUUGUUUGUUCAACAAUUAAAACCCUACGUGAUC